Molecule: ribosomal RNA, 506 nt
Filed under: uncultured bacterium
Lineage: Bacteria
Description: bacterial SSU rRNA
Rfam family: Bacterial small subunit ribosomal RNA
Source: RNAcentral
CUUGGUUCAGGAUGAACGCUAGCGACAGGCCUAACACAUGCAAGUCGAGGGGCAGCACAAGGAGCAAUCUGAGGUGGCGACCGGCGCACGGGUGAGUAACACGUAUGCAACCUGCCUGUAAGCGGGGAAUAACCCGUUGAAAGACGGACUAAUACCGCAUAAUACUAAAUUACUGCAUGGUAAUUUAUUUAAACAUUUAUGGCUUACAGAUGGGCAUGCGCAUGAUUAGCUAGUUGGAGAGGUAACGGCUCCCCAAGGCAACGAUCAUUAGGGGUUCUGAGAGGAAGGUCCCCCACACUGGUACUGAGACACGGACCAGACUCCUACGGGAGGCAGCAGUGAGGAAUAUUGGUCAAUGGACGAGAGUCUGAACCAGCCAAGUCGCGUGCAGGAAGAAUGUCCCUAUGGAUUGUAAACUGCUUUUGCAGGGGAAUAAAGUGCAUCACGUGUGAUGUUUUGUAUGUACUCUGCGAAUAAGGAUCGGCUAACUCCGUGCCAGCCGCGGC